UAAUUCUUUCGGGGUUUUAUGAAAUUCAUGAUCGGUAGUAUACUCUACGACCCGCCCUUUGGGCGAGGAUGAGUGGGUGUAACUCCCACAGCGACCGUUAUAGUCGGGUAUAAAGAAAGAAUGU
RNAcentral lists this non-coding RNA (124 nucleotides) under Candidatus Roizmaniibacteriota. Its description in RNAcentral is "Candidatus Roizmanbacteria FMN sequence". It matches the Rfam family "FMN riboswitch aptamer (RFN element)". Rfam says of the family: The RFN element is a highly conserved domain that is found frequently in the 5'-untranslated regions of prokaryotic mRNAs that encode for flavin mononucleotide (FMN) biosynthesis and transport proteins. The record is from RNAcentral.